CACGUAGUUAGCCGGGGCUUUUUCUUAUGGUACCGUCAUUAUCUUCCCAUAUAAAAGAACUUUACGACUCGAAAGCCUUCAUCGUUCACGCGGCGUCGCUGCAUCAGAGUUCCCUCCAUUGUGCAAUAUUCCCCACUGCUGCCUCCCGUAGGAGUUUGGACCGUUUCUCAGUUCCAAUGUGGCCGUUCACCCUCUCAGGCCGGCUACCCAUCGUCGCCUUGGUGGGCCGUUACCUCACCAACUAGCUAAUGGGACGCGAGUCCAUCUUAGACCACCGGAGUUUUGAUCAUUAGUGCAUGGGCACCUAUGAUUUCAUUUGGUAUUAAUCCCGGUUUCCCGAGGCUAUCCCAAUGUCUAAGGCAGGUUACUCACGUGUUACUCACCCGUCCGCCGCUAAUCCAUCUUAUCUUCACCCCGAAGGGAUCUGUCAAGAUUUCAUCGCUCGACUUUGCAUGUGUUAAGCGCGCCGCCAGCGUUCGUCCUCGAGCCUAGGACUCGAAACUACUCUCGACGACUACGG
Molecule: ribosomal RNA, 520 nt
Filed under: uncultured Peptoniphilus sp.
Lineage: Bacteria; Bacillati; Bacillota; Tissierellia; Tissierellales; Peptoniphilaceae
Description: partial 16S ribosomal RNA
Source: RNAcentral